UAUUAACUUCAUUACAGAGUUUUCAGUGUGAGUGUGCUUAGGGAAGCCUCUACAGCAUCUAAUUUAUUGAAAUAUUUUUCCUAGUUUAAAAUAGAUCCUCACCUGUUUCCUGACAACAUGCUGUCAUCUUCAUAAUAUUCCUCUCCACUGAAAUAUUCCUGCUCUCCCAAAUAAUGAUCAUCAUUGCAAUAGUCUUGCACUUCAUGUUCUUCACGGCAAAUAGUAGGUCGACGCCCAUCACCAGUGUCAGAUCUGAGAAACCUAGAUUCCCAUACAUGAACAUGCACCAACUUCCUCAGAAAGGGACGUGUCUGCUUUGUUUUUGAGAACACUUUGGUGGAAUUCUCUCCUGUUCUCCCAGAGCACUGGUUUGCAACAGGUGUCACUCAGACAGGAUGGAGUGCCAUGCAACAGCUUGCAAGCAUAACUCAGGCUUGAGACAGAUGAGAUGAACCAGUCCAAUGGUUAUUUAGCAAACCAGUGACACACAGAGCGCUGAACAACAUAAUUACACGACAAACCCAGACAUGCCUUUAAUUAGGCUUUCCCAUAAAGGCACAAGAUGACUUCAAAUGAAGUGGUAAUUCUGUGCAGCUGUGCUCCAGGAGGCACAACAGCACCUGCAGUGUCAUCAAGAUGGCACAAGGCACCGAGACACCAGUGCUGGGUCCUAAACAGCAUCUCAAGAGACAAUGAAUGAUGCCCCUGUCUCCCACACAACACUGAAAUGACAUGUAUGUGCUUUCAAAUGCUGCAAAAACAGAACUGCAGGAGUCCCUCGGAGAGAAAAAAUGUCAUAUGGCCAAUAACUGUAUCCCUGUAUUGGUUGUUUAGAGAGAGAGAGACUCUCUAAGAGGCUUAAAAAGCACCUCACACCAAAACAUCAGAACCUUUUAAAGUUAAACAUUUAAAUAUUUUGAAAAGACUGUUUAUAAAAAAUGCCAAAUAUAUUUAAAAUCAAUUUUUCCAUGUCUAUAGUAUGCAUAAAACAGUUACACCAUUUUAGAUAUGUCUUAUAUUAAGAAAUCUGUGUAUAAUUCAAGAUGCCAAAGUCAUGACUUCUAGAAAAAUGUUUAAAUGCUUAUAAAUACUGUAACUACAAAAAGAUUGUUUUCCCUGUACCUAAACUCAGUCUACAAGCAUUGUGAGAUAUGGUCCAACCUACAUAUAGGUGCAGUUUAAGCUUAGAUUAAGAACUGCAAGCACAAAACCCUUAUUUUAAUAGUAAGAAUCAUUAUUAUCUAAACUAUUUCCAGUCACAUAAAAUACACAUGGUCCCUCUUUUGAGGCAUCUUAGAAUGAUAUCAGGAAAUGGAAAGCACUGCUAAGCUUUGCUUCACAGCCUUUAGAACAAUGAUGUAUAUUUACGUAUAUUGCUGCAUAAACUCAAUAGAUCUGGAACAAGCAUAAAUCUUUAUUCUAAAUCCUUAGGUCUUCAGAGUUUCAGAGUCCUGAAAGCCUAUGACUCUAAAAAUGUUCAAAUAAACCAUUACAUUUGUAGAUAAUGAACACGUUUUUACUAUCUGCUUAUUUUAUAGCAGAGAAAACUAAAAAGAACAUAAAAUCCCAAAGCUACUCUGACAACACAAAAAUAAAAGGAGGUUAGUACAGACAGAAUACAACACAAGAACUACUGAAAUAAGGAAAUAGGCGUGCAGAGAAAUAGCUGGAUAGACCUACACUAUAGCAGUGAACAUAAGAGACAUAGCAGGCGAGUCGUGAUUCCCCAGAGCUGUUCAUCCUCACAGAGCCCGGCUCCCAACACCGACUGCGCUGCUCCACAACUACACAAAAGCUCUGCUCUCAGUCCAACCCAGACUGCCUUCCAGCUAAGCCCUCCUGUGAACACCACAUCAGCAUGGGAGCACAAUUCAAUGGAAGUGGAGCUACAGAUUAACCCCUCAGCUGAUGCCUACUAGGGGGUUGGGUUUUUACCUUUUUCUAUUAAUGUUUACUGUGGGGUUAAUAUCAGUUAUUACAUCUGCAGAGGGAAAAAAGCAUAAUUAAUUUAAUCUGAAACAUGAUUCUAAAAAUCACGUUCAGCUCACUAAAUCAGUGCUUUUGUAUAGGAGGCAGAGGAAAUAUCUUUUAACUUUUAUUUGUGAGUAUUAACAAAACGUGCUACUUGUAAAUAAAUGCAAA
Chiroxiphia lanceolata (lance-tailed manakin) is the source of this 2142-nucleotide long non-coding RNA. RefSeq lists it as uncharacterized. The record is from RefSeq and is a predicted model, not a curated record. NCBI's taxonomy places the organism in Eukaryota, Metazoa, Chordata, Aves, Passeriformes, Pipridae. The transcript is spliced from 3 exons.